RNAcentral lists this ribosomal RNA (406 nucleotides) under uncultured bacterium. RNAcentral's name for it is "partial 16S ribosomal RNA". It matches the Rfam family "Bacterial small subunit ribosomal RNA", at positions 29 to 526 of the family's 1533-position model. The record is from RNAcentral.
AUUGAACGCUGGCGGCAGGCCUAACACAUGCAAGUCGAACGAGUGGCGGACGGGUGAGUAAUGUCUGGGAAAAGGCCUGAUGGAGGGGGAUAACUACUGGAAACGGUAGCUAAUACCGCAUACCCUCGGAUGUGCCCAGAGGGGAGUAGGUAGUAGGUGGGGGAAAGGCUCACCUAGGCGACGACCCCUCGCGGGUCUGAGAGGGUGAAGAGCCACACUGUAACUGAGACACGGUGCAGACUCCUACGGUAGGGAGCAGUGGGGAAUAAUGCACAAUGGGCGCAGGCCUGAUGCAGCCAUGCCGCGUGUGUGAAGAAGGCCGUCGGGUUGUAAAGUACUUUCAGCGGGGAGGCGUGACCCGCAGAAGAAGCACCGGCUAACUCCGUGCCAGCAGCCGCGGUAAUAC